UACGUAGGGGGCAAGCGUUGUCCGGAUUUAUUGGGCGUAAAGAGCGUGUAGGCGGUUUGGUAGGUCCGUUGUGAAAACUCGAGGCUCAACCUCGAGACGCCGAUGGAAACCAUCAGACUAGAGUCCGGAAGAGGAGAGUGGAAUUCCUGGUGUAGCGGUGAAAUGCGCAGAUAUCAGGAGGAACACCGGUGGCGAAGGCGGGUCUCUGGGCCGUUACUGACGCUGAGGAGCGAAAGCGUGGGGAGCGAACAGG
This 253-nucleotide ribosomal RNA is filed under the name uncultured bacterium. Its description in RNAcentral is "partial 16S ribosomal RNA". It matches the Rfam family "Bacterial small subunit ribosomal RNA", at positions 524 to 776 of the family's 1533-position model. The record is from RNAcentral.